GAUGAUUCUACAGUUCCAGGUAUUCUGUUAUACAACGUGACAGAUGAACAAGACCAGGUUGAUAUCGGAACACCACAGACUACUAGGCUGGUUCAUCUGGCAUUGAUAGAGGCUGGGCUGGCUCAACUGGCUGACUCGAGUGAGCUAAGCAUUGAUGGUUCAGAGGUAUAAACGGACUUCCCCAAGAAUUGACAACAUUUCUUAGUUAAGUCUCAACUCUUUGUCGCCUGGUAUGCAUACAUCAAAGAGGGAAGUCUAUCUUCAGUUUUCUGGACGAGUGCAAUUCUUCCAGUCCUCUACAUCCAAGAGGGAAGUCUAUCUUCAGUUUUCUGGACGAGUGCAAUUCUUCCAGUCCUCUACAUCCAAGAGGGAAGUCUAUCUUCAGUUUUCUGGACGAGUGCAAUUCUUCCAGUCCUCUACAUCCAAGAGGGAAGUCUAUCUUCAGUUUUCUGGACGAGUGCAUAUUCUUCCAGUCCUCUAGUUUUCAAGAAACAAAAGAGAAAAGUUCUCCACCACAACGUGCGCUUAAUGUAAUUUUUUUGUUAAUUUAUGUUUUUAAUUAGCAAAAGUAAUUAAGCACCAUUUAGACCAUGUAAUGCCAAACAAACAUGAUUAGCGUCCGGCUUUUCUGAAAGAAUGGUAAGAGGAGGCUGACACAUUUUUGAAAGACAACCUGAUGAGCUGGGUUUUUUUCAAUUGUUCAAACAUUUUUGUUUUGCCUGUUAUAUCACUUGUUUACAAACGAGCCACAGAGCAUGGCGUUCCUGCAGGCACAAUUUGUACAUAGCUCAAUGUGUGACAAGUCUGACAUACUAUCUGAUAUUGAGAUUGUACUGUCUAAUUUAUAUCCAUCUUUGGUCUCAAAAUUUGUACAGCUGCAAUUAUGUUUUGAGAAAAUAGAAUUAGCUGUUGGAAACAACUUAUCAACCCAAUGGGCCGACGACGGUAUGAAUGGAAAAAAAUAGUUAAUGACCUGACGGCUCGACCCUAGCAGAUUCUUUUUUUGUUAGCCUUCGAGAAAGACUCUGCUAGGGUCGAAACAUCAGGCCCUAACUAUUUCUUGCAAUUAUUUUCGGUUGUGGAUUUAUGUGGAAAUUGUUACACAAAAUACGUGUAUCUUGCCUGCCAGAAAAACUAUGGAAUGUACUGAGUGACCUUAUUUGUAAUCAGAGGUUUACUUAGUCUACACUACAUGCCCUUCGUAUUUAAAUGUUUAAUUCAGGCAACAUUGUUUGUGUUGUUAAUUGUGGAAUAUUGAACCAACCUUUUUUGAAAAAUUACGAAAUUUUUACAAGCAUAAAUAUUGAUUUAGAUUAUUUGUGCCUGCAUUAAAGCCAUUGGACCCUUUCGGUAAACAGUAUUUCCCAAGGCCCACACUUCGUGUAUCACAACUUCUAUAUCGAAUAACAAACUUGUGGAAAUGUAGGCUCAAUCGGCCAUCGGAGUCGGGAGAUAAUAACGGGUAAACCCAUCCUUGUAGCCGCACGUUUCGCCGUGUCCAUGACAUGUGUUUAAAAUAAAUCCGUAAUUCUCGCUAUCGAGAAUUGAUAUUGUUUU
Asterias rubens (European starfish) is the source of this 1557-nucleotide long non-coding RNA. RefSeq lists it as uncharacterized. The transcript is spliced from 3 exons. Lineage: Eukaryota; Metazoa; Echinodermata; Asteroidea; Forcipulatida; Asteriidae. The record is from RefSeq and is a predicted model, not a curated record.